Molecule: long non-coding RNA, 301 nt
Filed under: Gossypium barbadense (sea-island cotton)
Lineage: Eukaryota; Viridiplantae; Streptophyta; Magnoliopsida; Malvales; Malvaceae
Description: long non-coding RNA (GBAR_LNC018533)
Source: RNAcentral
UGCGCUUCUAUAGCUUUUUGUACCAACGAUGCACCGAAUUGCGGUGGAUUAGCCGACAAUAACCCGGCUGCCGUGACGGUGAAGAUGGCAUGAAUCAGGUUUCCGAAGUAACUUUCCGGCAUGGGUGGAUCAACCCUUUUACGACAAUCAGCGAAGAGAGUGAAAACUGUGUAAUCUUGAGGUUUGAGUUCACGUGCUAGGGUUACGUGGUGCCAAACGUGAUAAGCUAGAGAUUGGAAAGUUGAGAAUGGUUUAGAGGAGUCGGAUGGUGGGGUAGAGUUGACUUUUGACUUGAUCUUGU